UAGGGAAUUUUGCGCAAUGGACGAAAGUCUGACGCAGCGACGCCGCGUGAGCGAUGAAGGUCUUCGGAUUGUAAAGCUCUGUUGUGUGGGAAGAAAAAGUCUGGUGGUAAUAUCGCCAGGCCUUGACGGUACCACGCGAGGAAGCCCCGGCUAACUACGUGCCAGCAGCCGCGGUAAUACGUAGGGGGCUAGCGUUGUUCGGAAUCACUGGGCGUAAAGGGAGUGUAGGCGGAAGGGUAAGUUAGAAGUUAAAUACACAGGCUUAACCUGUGGCCUGCUUUUAAUACUGCUUUUCUUGAGUAUGGGAGAGGGUGAUGGAAUUCCAGGUGUAGCGGUGGAAUGCGUAGAUAUCUGGAAGAACACCAGUUGCGAAGGCGGUCACCUGGCCCAAUACUGACGCUGAGGCUCGAAAGCUAGGGGAGCGAACA
This 428-nucleotide ribosomal RNA is filed under the name uncultured bacterium. Its description in RNAcentral is "bacterial SSU rRNA". It matches the Rfam family "Bacterial small subunit ribosomal RNA", at positions 355 to 774 of the family's 1533-position model. The record is from RNAcentral.